GAUGAACGCUGGCGGCGUGCCUAAUACAUGCAAGUCGAGCGAACAGACGAGGAGCUUGCUCCUCUGACGUUAGCGGCGGACGGGUGAGUAACACGUGGAUAACCUACCUAUAAGACUGGGAUAACUUCGGGAAACCGGAGCUAAUACCGGAUAAUAUAUUGAACCGCAUGGUUCAAUAGUGAAAGCCGGUUUUGCUGUCACUUAUAGAUGGAUCCGCGCCGCAUUAGCUAGUUGGUAAGGUAACGGCUUACCAAGGCAACGAUGCGUAGCCGACCUGAGAGGGUGAUCGGCCACACUGGAACUGAGACACGGUCCAGACUCCUACGGGAGGCAGCAGUAGGGAAUCGUCCGAAAUGGGCGAAAGCUUGACGGAGCAACGCCGCGUGAGUGAUGAAGGUCUUCGGAUCGUAAAACUCUGUUAUUAGGGAAGAACAAAUGUGUAAGUAACUAUGCACGUCUUGACGGUACCUAAUCAGAAAGCCACGGCUAACUACGUG
RNAcentral lists this ribosomal RNA (497 nucleotides) under uncultured bacterium. Its description in RNAcentral is "partial 16S ribosomal RNA". It matches the Rfam family "Bacterial small subunit ribosomal RNA", at positions 28 to 507 of the family's 1533-position model. The record is from RNAcentral.